GGCAAGGUAGUCGCGGUGCAGAAACAACCAGGAGGUUGGCUUAGAAGCAGCCAUCCUUUAAAGAAAGCGUAACAGCUCACUGGUCUAAAUAAGGGUUCCUGCGCCGAAAAUGUAACGGGGCUCAAGCCACGAGCCGAAGCUUAGGGUGUGAUCCGUUGAGGAUCACGCGGUAGCGGAGCGUUCUCUAGGCCUGUGAAGCGGCACCUGCGAGGGGCCGUGGAGGUAUGAGAAGUGCGAAUGCUGACAUGAGUAACGACAAACAGUGUGAGAGACACUGUCGCCGAAAGUCCAAGGGUUCCUGCGUAAAGUUAAUCUCCGCAGGGUUAGCCGGCCCCUAAGGCGAGGCCGAAAGGCGUAGUCGAUGGGAAUGAGGUGAAUAUUCCUCAGCCAGUUGGUAGUGACGGAUCCCGUACGCUGUCAGAUCUUAUUGGAUUGAUCUGGCUUCCAAGGGGUUCCAGGAAAUAGCUCCAACAUGAGACCGUACCCUAAACCGACACAGGUGGACUGGUAGAGUA
This 515-nucleotide ribosomal RNA is filed under the name Pycnococcus provasolii. Its description in RNAcentral is "partial Bacterial large subunit ribosomal RNA". It matches the Rfam family "Bacterial large subunit ribosomal RNA", at positions 1066 to 1678 of the family's 2925-position model. The record is from RNAcentral. Lineage: Eukaryota; Viridiplantae; Chlorophyta; Pseudoscourfieldiophyceae; Pseudoscourfieldiales; Pycnococcaceae.